This 776-nucleotide ribosomal RNA is filed under the name uncultured Neocallimastigales. RNAcentral describes it as "partial large subunit ribosomal RNA". It matches the Rfam family "Eukaryotic large subunit ribosomal RNA", at positions 26 to 643 of the family's 3401-position model. The record is from RNAcentral. Lineage: Eukaryota; Fungi; Neocallimastigomycota; Neocallimastigomycetes; Neocallimastigales.
CGCAUCUGUGCAUGCAGCAUAUCAAUAAGCGGAGGAAAAGAAACUAACAAGGAUUCCCCUAGUAACGGCGAGUGAAGCGGGAAGAGCUCAAAUUUGAAAUCUUAAAGGGUUUCCCUUUACGAAUUGUAGUUUAAAGAAGUGUUUUCUGUUGAGGUUUUGGUAAAAGUUCUUUGGAAUAGGACAUCAUAGAGGGUGAGAAUCCCGUAUUUGACCUUUACUUUCAACUUUGUGAUACACUUUCAAAGAGUCGGAUUGUUUGGGAAUGCAGUCCAAAAUGGGUGGUAAAUUUCAUCUAAAGCUAAAUAUUGGCGAGAGACCGAUAGCGAACAAGUACCGUGAGGGAAAGAUGAAAAGAACUUUGAAAAGAGAGUUAAACAGUACGUGAAAUUGUCAAAAGGGAAGCGUUUGACACCAGUGUUGUUUUUCUGAAAAUCAAUUAAAGAACUGUUUAUGCUAAGCUGUUUAGACUUUAUCAGCUAAUCUGUUUAGUUUUGAGCUUUUCUUUAAUGCACUUUUCAGUUAACAAGUCAACAUCAAUUUCUUUUGCUGUAAAAAAGCUUGAGGAAGGUGGCUUGAGAUUCGUCUUAAGUGUUUAUAGCCUCUUGCCUAUGCAGUCGGAGAGAUUGAGGUCUGCAGCGUAGAUCCUUCGGGGUUAAAUAGCAUUUGUGCUAAGUUAUAGCGUUUUAUAGACAACUUGUUGACUAUGAUUAGUCUUGUAGCUUACUCGCUUAUGUUAUUUUACCUACGCUUAGGAUGUUGAUAGUCACAGCGUGUAC